Molecule: RNA transcript, 990 nt
Organism: Hipposideros armiger (great roundleaf bat)
Lineage: Eukaryota; Metazoa; Chordata; Mammalia; Chiroptera; Hipposideridae
Gene name: 40S ribosomal protein SA pseudogene
Exons: 1
Source: RefSeq, a predicted model, not a curated record
GACACUAGCUUUCCGUGCUACCCACAGAGGGACCCCUACGGCCUUGUUUUCGGUUCCCACGUAACUUAAAGGGAAUCUUUCACAAUGUGCGGGCCCUUGAUGUCCUGCAAAUGAAGGAGGAGGAUGUCCUCAAAUUCCUCGCUGCAGGAACCCACUUAGGUGGCACCAACCUUGACUUUCAAAUGGAGCAGUACAUCUACAAACGGAAAAGUGAUGGCCUCUACAUCAUAAAUCUGAAGAGAACCUGGGAGAAGCUUCUAUCGGCAGGCAGCUCAUGCCAUUGUUGCCACUGAAAACCUGGCUGAUGUGAGUAGUGGUAUCAUCCAGAAAUACCGGCCAGUGAACUGUGCUGAAGUUUGCUGCUGCCACUGGAGUCACUCCCACUGCUGGCCACUUCACUCCUGGGACCUUCACUAACCAGAUCCAGGCAGCCUUCCGGGAGCCGAGACUUCUGGUGGUUACCGAUCCCCAGGCUGACCACCAGCCUCUCACAGAGGCGUCUUAUGUUAACCUGCCAACCAUCGCUCUGUGUAACACAGACUCUCCUCUGCGCUAUGUGGACACUGCCACCCCUUGCACCAAGGGAGCUCACUCUGGAGGUCUGAUGUGGUGGGUGCUGGCCCGGGAAGUUCUGUGCAUGCGUGGUACCAUCUCCCUCCCGCGAGCAUCCGUGGGAGGUCAUGCCUGACCCUCUACAUCUAUGGAGACCCUGAAGAGGCUGAAAAGGAAAAGCAAGCCUCUGUUGAAAGAGCUGGUGACCAAGGAGGAUUUCAGGGCGAAUGAGUCCUCUAGUUCCGAGUUCACUGCUGCUCAGCCUGAGGUCGCAGACUGGUCUGAAGGUGUGCAGGGGCCCUCUGUGCCCAUUCAGCAGUUUCCUAUAGAAGACUGGCGCGCUUAGCCUGCCCCUGAAGACUGGUCUGCAGCCCCCACUGCUCAGGCCACUGAAUGGGAGGAACGACCAAUGAGUGGUCCUAAGCUGUUCUUCCACAA